Molecule: transfer RNA, 60 nt
Filed under: Micromonas pusilla
Lineage: Eukaryota; Viridiplantae; Chlorophyta; Mamiellophyceae; Mamiellales; Mamiellaceae
Also listed under: 2 other names
Rfam family: tRNA
About the family: Transfer RNA (tRNA) molecules are approximately 80 nucleotides in length.
Source: RNAcentral
AUUAGCUCAGGUGGUUAGAGCGCACCCCUGAUAAGGGUGAGGUCUCAGGUUCAAGUCCUG